This 765-nucleotide ribosomal RNA is filed under the name uncultured Streptococcus sp. RNAcentral's name for it is "bacterial SSU rRNA". It matches the Rfam family "Bacterial small subunit ribosomal RNA", at positions 28 to 776 of the family's 1533-position model. Lineage: Bacteria; Bacillati; Bacillota; Bacilli; Lactobacillales; Streptococcaceae. The record is from RNAcentral.
GACGAACGCUGGCGGCGUGCCUAAUACAUGCAAGUAGAACGCUGAAGAGAGGAGCUUGCUCUUCUUGGAUGAGUUGCGAACGGGUGAGUAACGCGUAGGUAACCUGCCUUGUAGCGGGGGAUAACUAUUGGAAACGAUAGCUAAUACCGCAUGACAAUAGGUGACACAUGUCAUUUAUUUGAAAGGGGCAAUUGCUCCACUACAAGAUGGACCUGCGUUGUAUUAGCUAGUAGGUGAGGUAACGGCUCACCUAGGCGACGAUACAUAGCCGACCUGAGAGGGUGAUCGGCCACACUGGGACUGAGACACGGCCCAGACUCCUACGGGAGGCAGCAGUAGGGAAUCUUCGGCAAUGGGGGCAACCCUGACCGAGCAACGCCGCGUGAGUGAAGAAGGUUUUCGGAUCGUAAAGCUCUGUUGUAAGUCAAGAACGAGUGUGAGAGUGGAAAGUUCACACUGUGACGGUAGCUUACCAGAAAGGGACGGCUAACUACGUGCCAGCAGCCGCGGUAAUACGUAGGUCCCGAGCGUUGUCCGGAUUUAUUGGGCGUAAAGCGAGCGCGGGCGGUUUGAUAAGUCUGAAGUUAAAGGCUGUGGCUCAACCAUAGUUCGCUUUGGAAACUGUCAAACUUGAGUGCAGAAGGGGAGAGUGGAAUUCCAUGUGUAGCGGUGAAAUGCGUAGAUAUAUGGAGGAACACCGGUGGCGAAAGCGGCUCUCUGGUCUGUAACUGACGCUGAGGCUCGAAAGCGUGGGGAGCGAACAGG